GAAGACCCUAUAUGGGGGUCACUUGUAGUUGAAAUAUUAGCAAAAUGUCUGUAAUAAGGAUUCUAAUGGAAAUCUUAUGAUCAUUUAAGCAAUUUUUGCUAAUGGAUCAGAAAGGAUUGUCAAAGCAGAAACUCUGGGCUGAGGUAAAGGUAGUGUAACGGCUCGUUUUCAGUAAAAUCAGAAUAUUGGUUUUGAGACCAC
This 201-nucleotide long non-coding RNA is filed under the name Gossypium barbadense (sea-island cotton). RNAcentral's name for it is "long non-coding RNA (GBAR_LNC016471)". The record is from RNAcentral. Lineage: Eukaryota; Viridiplantae; Streptophyta; Magnoliopsida; Malvales; Malvaceae.